AAUUUUUGACCGAGCACCCCCCUUGAAUGAAAAAGUUUUCGGAUCGUAAAACUUUGUUUUUAGGAAAAACCAGGGUGGGAGUAAAAUGUUCAUCCCUUGACGGUUUUUAACCAGAAAGCCACGGCUAAUUACGUGCCAGCAGCCGCGGUAAUACGUAGGUGGCCAGCGUUGUCCGGAUUUAUUGGGCGUAAAGCGAGCGCAGGCGGUUUCUUAAGUUUGAUGUGAAAGCCCCCGGCUCAACCGGGGAGGGUCAUUGGAAACUGGGAGACUUGAGUGCAGAAGAGGAGAGUGGAAUUCCAUGUGUAGCGGUGAAAUGCGUAGAUAUAUGGAGGAACCCCAGUGGCGAAGGCGGCUCUUUGGUCUGUAACUGACGCUGAGGCUCGAAAGCGUGGGGAGCGAACAGGAUUAGAUACCCUGGUAGUUCACGCCGUAAACGAUGAGUGCUAAGUGUUGGAGGGUUUCCGCCCUUCAGUGCUGCAGCAAACGCCUUAAGCACUCCGCCUGGGGAGUACGACCGCAAGGUUGAAACUCAAAGGAAUUGACGGGGGCCCGCACCAGCGGUGGAGCAUGUGGUUUAAUUCGAAGCAACGCGAAGGACCUUACCCGGUCUUGACCUCCUUUGACCCCUCUAGAGAUAGAGCUUUCCCUUCGGGGGCAAAGUGACAGGUGGUGCAUGGUUGUUGUCAGCUUGUGUCGUGAGAUGUUGGGUUAAGUCCCGCAACGAGCGCCACCCUUAUUGUUAGUUGCCAUCAUUUAGUUGGGCCCUCUAGCGAGGCCGCCGGUGACAAACCGGAGGAAGGUGGGGAUGACGUCAAAUCAUCAUGCCCCUUAUGACCUGGGCUACCCCCGUGCUACAAUGGGAAGUACAACGAGUUGCGAAGUCGCGAGGCUUAGCUAAUCUUUUAAAGCUUCUCUCAGUUCGGAUUGUAGGCUGCAACUUGCCUACAUGAAGCCGGGAUCGCUUGUAAUCGCGGAUCAGCCCGCCGCGGUGAAUACGUUCCCGGGCCUUGUACACCCCGCCCGUCACACCACGAGAGUUUGUAACCCCCGAAGUCGGUGAGGUAACCUUUUGGAGCCAGCCGCUAAGGGGAUAGAUGGGA
RNAcentral lists this ribosomal RNA (1100 nucleotides) under Enterococcus canintestini. RNAcentral describes it as "bacterial SSU rRNA". It matches the Rfam family "Bacterial small subunit ribosomal RNA", at positions 378 to 1474 of the family's 1533-position model. Lineage: Bacteria; Bacillati; Bacillota; Bacilli; Lactobacillales; Enterococcaceae. The record is from RNAcentral.